AGUUCAAUUAUUACAUUCACAUAGGCCGCUCCCUUCCACGGACAAGUGACAAGGAAGAAAAAAACAACAGUAAUUUCUAGAUUCAUAGAGGCCGCUCCUUUCAACGGACAAUUGAAAGAAAUUUAGAAAAAAACAACAGUAAUUGUCCAAACGGCUAGAUUGCAUACCUUUACACUCUUCCGUGAUGAGAUUGAGAUGCAUUUGCAAUCAAGCAAUUACACAAUUUCAUAGCAUGGCUUCCGUAUUGCUGUGCUUUCUGGUAGUAUUGUGAUCAUUAGGUCUGGAGAAUUAUAGGCAUUCGCUGCUGUAUUUCAUAGCAUGGCUUGGGGUGGGAUGUGCUUUACGGUAGUAUUGUGAUUAUUACCUGGAGCAUUCGCUGCUUUAUUCCAAGACAAUAAUCUCGAGGUGCUAGCAGAGUGGAACGGAGUUCAAGUGGGAGAUGAAGACAUAAGGGCAUCGCAAUCUGCUUUCUCUUCUUGUUGUUUUGGGUGAAAUGUGCAAUUGCAAGCAAGCAAUCAUACAUAUUUGUGGAUGAUGCAACUCUAUUCAAAUUUCAUAGCAUGGUUGUGCAGAGGAAUUGGUCACCAGCGCAUGGAGUCAUUAUGAUUGGUAGCAAGAGGAAUGGAAGACCCUGGCAAUUUGACACUGGAAGUUGGGCUUCAUGAUACAACGAGGGACCUAUUAUAAAGACUAAGUUAAUAAUUUGGUAAAGGCAAUGAAAGAAGCAUCUGGGACUUAAUCAGCGUGUACUGCAUACUACAUGUAUGAUGCUCACUAACCAAAACAAUAACAACUACCAGAUGGACUGGAAUGUAGGUUUUGCAUGUAAGAACCCUUAUACCAUGGAUUAACUCGUUCUUCUGACAUCUUAUCAUCCUAUUGUCCUUUGACAAUGCCUUGCAUUGCUGUUAUAUAUUGUUGGCUUUGAUUUGGUACUUUGAAUUACAAUGAAGAACUGGCAAUUCCAAAAAAGCUUAAAAAGCUUGUCUGUUUACAUAUAUUUACCAUAUUAACUGUUUGUUUGAAACCAUAGUUGAGCGCAAUGGUGUUCAAAUUGGACCAAGAGGGAGUUGAGUGGUUGUUUAGCACUCAUCCCUCUCCCACUGAAGCCCAUUCUGAUGAGAAAACGGGCUGCCAUGCAUUGGAUUAUCAGCUACAAUCCCAGCGUAUUCAUUUUAAGGUAAGUUUGAUAGUCUUAACUGUAGUUCAUUCCUAAGAUUCAGAAAAGAUUGAUUGGCUUUCCAUUAUUUUUUUAAAGUAUGUUAGAAGAAGGGAGUGAUUUUCUGUUGUCUUCAAGCCCUCCACAUUGAGUUCUGACAUUGGAUCCUCUGGCAAUGUAUUGGUUUGACUACAAGCCACCACCUCCAUAACACUAUGCCUGAUUCUUACUCUGUUAUAAAUCAAUCCCAUUUUCUUCUCCUUCCAGUGUGAAGGACUUCAUUUGCUGUUUUCCUUGUCUUCAGGUUUGGGUUUUUUUACAUUGAAGCAGAGAACAGAACAAUAUCAGCAAUAAACAACAACAGUUAAUUAUUGCACUAUGCAUCAUUUGACGAGUUUGGUGUUAAUAAUAUAUUAAUGUUAGGUGUGAAAUGUGAA
Molecule: long non-coding RNA, 1596 nt
Organism: Cryptomeria japonica (Japanese cedar)
Lineage: Eukaryota; Viridiplantae; Streptophyta; Pinopsida; Cupressales; Cupressaceae
Exons: 4
Source: RefSeq, a predicted model, not a curated record